GCUGGGCCUGGUGUCACAUACCUGUAGUCCCAGCUACUCAAGAGGCUAAGGGUAGAAAAUCAUUUGAGUCCAGGAGCUCUGAGCUGUAGUGUGCUAUGCCUAUUGGGUAUCCAAACUAAGGUUGGCGUCAGUAUGGUGACCUCCCAAAAGUGAGGGACCACCACAUUGCCUAAUGAGGAGUGAAGUGGCCCAGGUUAGAACCAGAGCAGAUCAAAACUCACAUGCUGAUCAGUAGUGGGAUUGUGCCGGUGAAUAACCACUGUACUCCAGCCUGGGCAACAUAGCAAGACCCUAUCUCUU
This 300-nucleotide signal recognition particle RNA is filed under the name Propithecus coquereli (Coquerel's sifaka). Its description in RNAcentral is "Metazoan signal recognition particle RNA (ENSPCOG00000002233.1)". It matches the Rfam family "Metazoan signal recognition particle RNA". From Rfam's summary of the family: The signal recognition particle (SRP) is a universally conserved ribonucleoprotein. It is involved in the co-translational targeting of proteins to membranes. Lineage: Eukaryota; Metazoa; Chordata; Mammalia; Primates; Indriidae. The record is from Rfam by way of RNAcentral.